CAGCAGCGCGGUAAUACCGAGGGUGCGAGCGUUAAUCGGAUUUACUGGGCGUAAAGCGUGCGUAGGCGGCUUCUUAAGUCGGAUGUGAAAUCCCUGAGCUUAACUUAGGAAUUGCAUUCGAUACUGGGAAGCUAGAGUAUGGGAGAGGAUGGUAGAAUUCCAGGUGUAGCGGUGAAAUGCGUAGAGAUCUGGAGGAAUACCGAUGGCGAAGGCAGCCAUCUGGCCUAAUACUGACGCUGAGGUACGAAAGCAUGGGGAGCAAACAGGAUUAGAUACCCCUGUAGUCCCUGUCUCUUAUACA
Molecule: ribosomal RNA, 301 nt
Filed under: uncultured bacterium
Lineage: Bacteria
Description: partial 16S ribosomal RNA
Rfam family: Bacterial small subunit ribosomal RNA
Source: RNAcentral